Long non-coding RNA from Mercenaria mercenaria, 2061 nucleotides. RefSeq lists it as uncharacterized. Lineage: Eukaryota; Metazoa; Mollusca; Bivalvia; Venerida; Veneridae. The transcript is spliced from 3 exons. The record is from RefSeq and is a predicted model, not a curated record.
ACACUGAUAUAGAUUGUGAUACAAACAUGCUUUAUUCAAUACUGAGUAGCAUUUUUAAACGGCGACAUUUUGAACAUUUUCAUAUUUAGAGUGAGAGUGGAUACACGUUACACUGGCGGCGACAUUUUGAAAAUUUGAGGAAACAAAAACAUUCUCCAACGAGUUUUUCAGCUCGGGGAAUGAGAGAAUAGAUUCACCUUUGUGUCGCUUUUCAGAUCGUAUUUAAUUCCUUUCCGGUACUUUAGUUUCUUUGAACUUCUUUGUUACUAAGCCUAUAUUGAAUUUUUAAAAUUAAGAAAUCCGUGAUUUUACUUGCAGGCAUGACUGAUUAAUGGAAUUAUUUUACUUUUAUAUAGAAUAUGGACGGCACUCCAUUACAGCAUGUGCAUGGUUGGACCUGUUGACAUUUUUAGAAACGCAUAUUGGUCUAUUAUACAGAGUAUUGUUGUACUGCUCCAAAGUGCUUGUUGACAGACUGAAACCACUUGCUUGAGGCUCAUAAGGUUCACUUCUUGAGAGAAGGCAGCUACAAAAUGGAAGGUCAACAAAUCCAGUAUACUUGGAAAGCAAGAAAGAAACACCAGAAAAUAUAAAAAGACAGAAGAACAAGGGAACUUUAAUAAAAAAAAAACUUUUAAGGAUAGGAAUUCAGGAUUUAUUUAGAAACUAAAUAUAUUUUGAGAACAGCAGUGUUUGACUAAGCUCUGUUACUUUAAGAGAUAAUGUGAUUAUCACAUUGGUUUUGUUAUUGUCGAGCCCGCUUGCGGAAGCGAAGACAUAGUUGUCCAAAUGUCUAUUCGGUGUUAUGUGCGUGCGUGCGUGCGUCCGGAUUUGUUUGUCCGGACCAUAAUUUGGACAUGCAUGUAGCAAUCUUGUUUAUAUAUGGUAUGAAUGCUAACCUCAGUGAGACAGAGUGUCAUGCACAAGCCCCAGGUUCCUAUCUCAAAGGUCAAGAUCGCACUUACAGGUCAAAGGUCAAAUUCAAAAAUGACUUUGUCCGGAGCAUUUCUUCUUCAUGCAUGGAGGGAUUUUGAUGCAACUUGGCACAAUUGUUCACCAUCAUGAGGUGGAGUGUCAUGCGCAAGAACGAGGUCCCUAGGUCUAAGGUCAAGGUCACACUUAGAGGUCAAAGGAUACAAGAAUGACAACUUUGUCUGGAGCAUUUCUUCUUCACGCAUGGAGGGACUUUGAUGUAACUUGGCACAAAUGUUCACCACCAUGAGACGGAGUGUCAUGCGGAAGAACCAGGUCUAAGGUCAAGGUCACACUUAGAGGUCAAAAGUCAGAUACAAGAAUGACUUUGUCUGGAGCAUUUCUUUUUGAUGCAUAGAGGGAUUUUGAUGUAACUUGGCACAAUUGUUCAUCAUCAUGCGACGGAGUGUUAUGCAUAAGAUCCUAGAAUUACUUCCCUUUGUUGUUACUAUAAAUAGCUUACAUUUGUAACUUGUUUAUUACUGGUCGUAGGGAAAAAUCAAGACCACUUUUCUGUAGUACAACAUGCAUGUUACAUCCAGUUUUCAGGUGUAUUUUGACCUAUCUCUGAUGGUGCGGAUUUUUGUGUGAAUUUUUUUUAAAUUUUUUUUUUAUAAUUUUACGUUCCUUUGUUGUUACUGUAAAUAACUUAUAUUGUAACUUUUUGCAAUCUCUUUUAUUUGGCAUAAAUGUUUGCCUCAAUGAGACAAGGAGUUUCAUGCACAACUCCCAGUCCUUUUGACAGCUGGUGGGCUUGACAUAUUGCCGGUGGGCAUCUAGUUCUCAUAUUUUUCAUGAGAUUUUAAAGAGAAUGUUCUGUUAUACCCCCAUGUAGUAAGCUUGUCUGUCUUUCAGUCAGUAGGUUUUCAUGGCUUCCAGAUGAUAACUCAUGAAAAGCUUGACCGAUUUAAAUAUUUUUUGGUACAUAGUUACAGGUCAAGUUCGACUUUGGGGUCAGUAGGUCAAAGGUCAAGAUAACUUGCAAACGCUUUGGCCUGGGAUCAUAGCUUUUGUAACACAGGUGUAACAUGAUAAAAUACAGGUUGUUUGAAUUUGAGGUCAAUAGAUCAAAGGUCAAGGUCACAGUGA